Molecule: long non-coding RNA, 1520 nt
Filed under: Oryctolagus cuniculus (rabbit)
Lineage: Eukaryota; Metazoa; Chordata; Mammalia; Lagomorpha; Leporidae
Description: lncRNA (ENSOCUG00000038329.1)
Source: RNAcentral
AAUCCCAGAGCGUCGCCUUCGGUCUUCCCGUCGAUCAAGCCAGUAUCCAGAGAGGGUCAGGGCGACCCGGGAAGCAGAGGAAACGGUGGCUGGAUCCGACCUCCUCUUCUGGCUUUGGAGACCGGGGGCCGGAGGCGUCGGGAGCGGGGCGCACGACCCCUCGGCGCCGAGCCCGGGGCGCCCCCGCCUCCCCCGGGCCAGCGGUCAGCGGACGGAGCCCGAGCCCCGGGCUGGCCCCGGCCGCGGGGGGCCCCCUCCUCGCCGUGCCCUCGGCGAGCAGCCACCGGGAGCCCCGGGAGCGGCGGCCGAUCAGCUGAGACCGGCCGGGCCGAGGCUUCCCCGCGCCGCCCCGGCCCCCCGGAACGCGGGCCCCGGCCCCGGGGGGCGCAGAGGGCGGGAGCGGCGCGGCGCGCCGGGCGGGGGGCCCGGGCUCCCCUCGCGUCGCCCCCUCAGCCCGGGCUCCGCGCUGCGGGACGAGCCCCCCGGCUACUCCCCAGUCGCAGAGGAGGGAUUCCGGGGGAUGGGCCCCCUGGCGUUGCCCCUCCUCCCGGAGCGUCCCCUGCCCAGGAGAGAGAGGAGCGGCGACAGGCCUAGCCGCUAGGAAGGUGCUCUGCGAGCCGCAGCCGCCGCCGCCGCCGCCGCCGGGGAGGGGUGUUGUUUCCCUCACACAGGAGGAGCCGCUGAAGCAGCCGCCGCCAUUUUGAACCCGUCAGACUCUCACAUAGACACAGGUAGCAGGCGCGCGAGUGGUCUUCGCGACGGCCCGGGGGCGGCGGCGGCGGCGGCGGCCAGCGCGCCCACCGCAGGCCGCAGGCGCCCGGGGAGGUGGCCCAGGAAGCCCCCGCUCCCCGGCCACGCUCAGGUUUCCGCAGCGCCGGUGCCCCCGGCGGCCCCGGGUGGGACGUGACCCCGCCCCCGGCGAGUCGGGGCGCCCCCCACGGAGGGGUGUGCGCGGGCCGCCCCCGGCCCCCGGCCCGACCCCGCCGCCCGGGCCUGCGGCGGGCGCGGGAGGGCCCGGCCGGGAAAGAUGUCUCCUCGCGGUGCGCGCACAGCUUCGCGCGAGGGUCAGCGACGGGGCAGCGGCGGCCCGAGCCGCGCCGGCCCUGCCCACGGACGGGCUCCCGCGGCUCGACCGCUGCCCGACGGGCGAGCAGGCUGCGGACGUCGACGGACCCCGCCGCCAGGUGUCUGAGCCGUCGCCAUGCGAGCAGACCAGCCGCGAUCAGGGCAUUUUUCCAGCCAAUCUCGUGCUCUGGGGCCCGUUUGAAUUCCCCCAUCGGGGAAAGGACCGUGGCUGGGGCGUGCACGACGGGAUUGUUUCGUUGACGUCGUCCCGUGGCCCCGGCCUUAGCUCCCACUCCCCGGAGCCCAUGAUUCCCGGGAGCCAGGAACGCAGGGGAGAGGGAGGGCGUGGGUUGACUCGCAAACUUGCACAGAGAGCCUUCAACUCUUUGCAAGGCGAUUGCGAUGAUGAUACCUUCUGCCAAGGGCUGAACUCUAGGGUAAAGUCGCUCCAUUAA